RNAcentral lists this ribosomal RNA (468 nucleotides) under uncultured bacterium. Its description in RNAcentral is "partial 16S ribosomal RNA". It matches the Rfam family "Bacterial small subunit ribosomal RNA", at positions 28 to 507 of the family's 1533-position model. The record is from RNAcentral.
GACGAACGCUGGCGGCGUGCUUAACACAUGCAAGUCGAACGGAAAGGCCCUGCUUUUGUGGGGUGCUCGAGUGGCGAACGGGUGAGUAACACGUGAGUAACCUGCCCUUGACUUUGGGAUAACUUCAGGAAACUGGGGCUAAUACCGGAUAGGAGCUCCUGCUGCAUGGUGGGGGUUGGAAAGUUUCGGCGGUUGGGGAUGGACUCGCGGCUUAUCAGCUUGUUGGUGGGGUAGUGGCUUACCAAGGCUUUGACGGGUAGCCGGCCUGAGAGGGGGACCGGCCACAUGAGGACUGAGAUACGGCCCAGACUCGUACGGGAGGCAGCAGUGGGGAAUAUUGCACAAUGGGCGGAAGCCUGAUGCAGCAACGCCGCGUGCGGGAUGACGGCCUUCGGGUUGUAAACCGCUUUCGCCUGUGACGAAGCGUGAGUGACGGUAAUGGGUAAAGAAGCACCGGCUAACUACGUG